Molecule: long non-coding RNA, 1043 nt
Organism: Cyprinus carpio (common carp)
Lineage: Eukaryota; Metazoa; Chordata; Actinopteri; Cypriniformes; Cyprinidae
Source: Ensembl
AGGAUACACUGCCCAUUGGCAGAUGUCACAAAAUGUUAGUUUCCAAGCCUGUGCACACAUGAAGUUACAUUAAAGCUUACGUAGACCACAUACAAUAAUACAAAUGUAUAUUUUUAUAUUAUGAAUAAUUACAGCAUUGCACAUAAAACAGUGUAGCUGCUGCAAGAAAACAAAGCUGCGUUAGCUUUACUUAAAGGAAAUGGAAACACUUUGUGGUUGAAGUGUCUGUGCUUUGCAUUGAGACCUGUAGUUUGAUCAACACCUUUACAAACGACAGACACAAUGGAGAAGGUCAUGUUCUUUUGUGCUGUUUCAUACAGAAUAAUUCAGAUCACUUCCAGCGAUGUUUCAGAACAUGAUGUGAGUAUUUUACGAGUCCGGCUGAAUGAAAGCAUCACUCUGAACUGCAGCAUGACAGACAGAUAUGAAAUCUCCUGGUAUCACCAGAAUCCUGAUUCUGGACGACUAACAUUACUGAUGUCUGCCAAAAGCAGCAGUGUAGCGGGAAGAAAACUGCUAGUUAGGUUCAAUCAAAACUGGAGUCGUCUGACAGUUCAUGCAGAUGUGGAGAUCAACACAGUCUCUCUAGUUAUUUCUGGAUUUACAGAGUCAGACUCAGGUCUUUAUUUCUGUGGAACUAAAUCAGUGGAAAUGCACUUCAACAAACCAAUCAGACUACAGAUCGAGGACAAGCCGACAGACAGAGAGGACAAAGUUCAGUCCGUCACAGAUCAGCCGGAGGAUGAUGAGAUCACAGAUGGAGUGACUCUGACGGAGCGUGUGCUGAUGUUCGGUGGUGUUGGUCUGGCUGUGUUGGUGUUUUUUGUGGCUACAGUCCUCGCAGGAGGAAUCAUUCACUAUAACGGCUGGCAGAAAGGAUGGAUCGCAGCCAAACGCUCAUCUCUGAUUCACCACAAAUCACUUAAAUAACAUAUUUGUGUGUUUUAUUUUUCACUCUAUCGCAUUAAUCAGCAUUGCUCUUACAGCCGAUGGUGGCUCACGAGUGUGCUUCAGAUGUGGAUCUGUUGGCCAGAUCUCACUUA